Molecule: ribosomal RNA, 301 nt
Filed under: uncultured bacterium
Lineage: Bacteria
Description: partial 16S ribosomal RNA
Rfam family: Bacterial small subunit ribosomal RNA
Source: RNAcentral
CAGCCGCCGCGGGAAUACGGAGGGCGCGAGCGUUACCCGGAUUUACUGGGCGUAAAGCGUGCGUAGGCGGUUCGUUAAGUCUGUUGUGAAAGCCCCGGGCUCAACCUGGGAAUGGCAAUGGAUACUGGCGAGCUAGAGUGUGUCAGAGGAUGGUGGAAUUCCCGGUGUAGCGGUGAAAUGCGUAGAGAUCGGGAGGAACAUCAGUGGCGAAGGCGGCCAUCUGGGACAACACUGACGCUGAGGCACGAAAGCGUGGGGAGCAAACAGGAUUAGAUACCCGCGUAGUCCCUGUCUCUUAUAC